This 1536-nucleotide ribosomal RNA is filed under the name Klebsiella pneumoniae. Its description in RNAcentral is "bacterial SSU rRNA". It matches the Rfam family "Bacterial small subunit ribosomal RNA". Lineage: Bacteria; Pseudomonadati; Pseudomonadota; Gammaproteobacteria; Enterobacterales; Enterobacteriaceae. The record is from RNAcentral.
UUGAAGAGUUUGAUCAUGGCUCAGAUUGAACGCUGGCGGCAGGCCUAACACAUGCAAGUCGAGCGGUAGCACAGAGAGCUUGCUCUCGGGUGACGAGCGGCGGACGGGUGAGUAAUGUCUGGGAAACUGCCUGAUGGAGGGGGAUAACUACUGGAAACGGUAGCUAAUACCGCAUAACGUCGCAAGACCAAAGUGGGGGACCUUCGGGCCUCAUGCCAUCAGAUGUGCCCAGAUGGGAUUAGCUAGUAGGUGGGGUAACGGCUCACCUAGGCGACGAUCCCUAGCUGGUCUGAGAGGAUGACCAGCCACACUGGAACUGAGACACGGUCCAGACUCCUACGGGAGGCAGCAGUGGGGAAUAUUGCACAAUGGGCGCAAGCCUGAUGCAGCCAUGCCGCGUGUGUGAAGAAGGCCUUCGGGUUGUAAAGCACUUUCAGCGGGGAGGAAGGCGAUAAGGUUAAUAACCUCAUCGAUUGACGUUACCCGCAGAAGAAGCACCGGCUAACUCCGUGCCAGCAGCCGCGGUAAUACGGAGGGUGCAAGCGUUAAUCGGAAUUACUGGGCGUAAAGCGCACGCAGGCGGUCUGUCAAGUCGGAUGUGAAAUCCCCGGGCUCAACCUGGGAACUGCAUUCGAAACUGGCAGGCUAGAGUCUUGUAGAGGGGGGUAGAAUUCCAGGUGUAGCGGUGAAAUGCGUAGAGAUCUGGAGGAAUACCGGUGGCGAAGGCGGCCCCCUGGACAAAGACUGACGCUCAGGUGCGAAAGCGUGGGGAGCAAACAGGAUUAGAUACCCUGGUAGUCCACGCCGUAAACGAUGUCGAUUUGGAGGUUGUGCCCUUGAGGCGUGGCUUCCGGAGCUAACGCGUUAAAUCGACCGCCUGGGGAGUACGGCCGCAAGGUUAAAACUCAAAUGAAUUGACGGGGGCCCGCACAAGCGGUGGAGCAUGUGGUUUAAUUCGAUGCAACGCGAAGAACCUUACCUGGUCUUGACAUCCACAGAACUUUCCAGAGAUGGAUUGGUGCCUUCGGGAACUGUGAGACAGGUGCUGCAUGGCUGUCGUCAGCUCGUGUUGUGAAAUGUUGGGUUAAGUCCCGCAACGAGCGCAACCCUUAUCCUUUGUUGCCAGCGGUUAGGCCGGGAACUCAAAGGAGACUGCCAGUGAUAAACUGGAGGAAGGUGGGGAUGACGUCAAGUCAUCAUGGCCCUUACGACCAGGGCUACACACGUGCUACAAUGGCAUAUACAAAGAGAAGCGACCUCGCGAGAGCAAGCGGACCUCAUAAAGUAUGUCGUAGUCCGGAUUGGAGUCUGCAACUCGACUCCAUGAAGUCGGAAUCGCUAGUAAUCGUAGAUCAGAAUGCUACGGUGAAUACGUUCCCGGGCCUUGUACACACCGCCCGUCACACCAUGGGAGUGGGUUGCAAAAGAAGUAGGUAGCUUAACCUUCGGGAGGGCGCUUACCACUUUGUGAUUCAUGACUGGGGUGAAGUCGUAACAAGGUAACCGUAGGGGAACCUGCGGUUGGAUCACCUCCUU